CCGGGAUAUCCUGGACUAGAUGGUGUCCCGGGGAGUGUAUGUGGGGAAUCCAAGCAUGUAUGCACAUGUGUGUACACCAUUCCUUGCCAUGGCACAUAUUAGGGAGAGAAAGGAAGAUCAUUGUCAGGACAGAAAGGAGAUGAAGUGACGGUUUUGAUACUCACCACUGUAUCCUGUAUCAAAAGGUUUGCUGGAGAUCUGUUUACAGGGAACCUACUUCAUAAACUUCCAUCUUAUCUAACUUUUCGGUUGAAGUAUAGACACCUGAGAUGCGUAACCCAUUCACAGGAUUGGUCAACUCUUGAGGUUCCUAGGGUCUCCACCGAGCGGUAAAUCUGCUUUUAUUUUAAUGCACUGUAUUGCUGGAACAAAAUUCAACAUUAUAUUUUAAUGUUCUGGUGCCGUUCGGUCAAUUUAAAGCGUUGAUUGGGGACUUAUUUGUGAAUGAAUGUAUUUGUUUUUCUGGUUGAUUUGUGAUGUUUUACUUGUACUUCCCAUGACAGUUUUUUAUGUAUAUGUAUGUUUAUGAUGUAUCAUACAAGGCAGGUUUGAAAGAGAGACCUACGUCUCGAUAUGUCUUCUCUGUUAAAAUAAAUAAUAAAGGUUGUUUAUCUAAUGAGAAUAUAUUCUCAGUCAAAUAAAAUAAUGUCAAAAUAUAUAAAGAAAAGUUUAAAAUGUGUGUGUAUGAAUGCGCUGACAACCUCGCCUGUGUGUGUAUGUUUUCAAGGGACCCCCAGGACCCUUUGGUAUGUUUGCUAUAGCAUGAUUCUCAUUGGUUGUGUGUGGGGUGGCAGGUACUCUAGAGGUUAGAGAGGCGGACCAGCAGCUCGAAGGUUGCUGGUUCAAGCUCUGGGGCGUGCAUCACAAAACUGUGAAUGGAACUCAAAUGGCAGCUGGAAGGCUGCUGGUCUCUGAUCCCAGGUACCAUCUCCUGCCUUUGUGCCCUUGAGAAAGGCACUUAACCCCAACAAAUAGCUCCAUCUAGGGGGCUGUACUGUAGCUGACCCUGUGCCUCUUAACAUGUAUGGUGUUGUUGGGAAAGGCAAAAUACCAAUGUAUGUUCUAAACAAUAUACAUUAAAA
Long non-coding RNA from Oncorhynchus keta (chum salmon), 1082 nucleotides. RefSeq lists it as uncharacterized. The record is from RefSeq and is a predicted model, not a curated record. Lineage: Eukaryota; Metazoa; Chordata; Actinopteri; Salmoniformes; Salmonidae. The transcript is spliced from 3 exons.